GGGGCAUUAGCUCAGCUGGGAGAGCGCUACAUUCGCAUUGUAGAGGUCGGCGGUUCGAAUCCGCUAUGCUCCA
This 73-nucleotide transfer RNA is filed under the name Heyndrickxia coagulans. RNAcentral's name for it is "Weizmannia coagulans tRNA-Ala". It matches the Rfam family "tRNA". Rfam says of the family: Transfer RNA (tRNA) molecules are approximately 80 nucleotides in length. The record is from RNAcentral. Lineage: Bacteria; Bacillati; Bacillota; Bacilli; Caryophanales; Bacillaceae.